GAGAGUAUAGUUCAGUGAUAGAGUGUGUGCUUAGCAUGCACAAGGUCCUGAGUUCAAUCCCCAGUACCUCCA
This is a transfer RNA of Camelus ferus (Wild Bactrian camel), 72 nucleotides long. It matches the Rfam family "tRNA". Rfam says of the family: Transfer RNA (tRNA) molecules are approximately 80 nucleotides in length. Their secondary structure includes four short double-helical elements and three loops (D, anti-codon, and T loops). Lineage: Eukaryota; Metazoa; Chordata; Mammalia; Artiodactyla; Camelidae. The record is from Rfam.